Molecule: ribosomal RNA, 107 nt
Filed under: uncultured bacterium
Lineage: Bacteria
Description: partial 16S ribosomal RNA
Source: RNAcentral
AAACUCGGAUUAAUACCGGAUAUUCUUAUUUAAUCACAUGAUUUUUUAAGGAAAGGUCAGCCGAACUAAGAUGGGCUCGCGUUCUAUCAGCUAGUUGGUAGGGUAAU